Molecule: ribosomal RNA, 593 nt
Filed under: Aspergillus terreus
Lineage: Eukaryota; Fungi; Ascomycota; Eurotiomycetes; Eurotiales; Aspergillaceae
Description: partial 18S ribosomal RNA
Rfam family: 5.8S ribosomal RNA (bases 237-390)
Source: RNAcentral
CNCACUCNNNAANNAUCCUUCCGUAGGUGAACCUGCGGAAGGAUCAUUACCGAGUGCGGGUCUUUAUGGCCCAACCUCCCACCCGUGACUAUUGUACCUUGUUGCUUCGGCGGGCCCGCCAGCGUUGCUGGCCGCCGGGGGGCGACUCGCCCCCGGGCCCGUGCCCGCCGGAGACCCCAACAUGAACCCUGUUCUGAAAGCUUGCAGUCUGAGUGUGAUUCUUUGCAAUCAGUUAAAACUUUCAACAAUGGAUCUCUUGGUUCCGGCAUCGAUGAAGAACGCAGCGAAAUGCGAUAACUAAUGUGAAUUGCAGAAUUCAGUGAAUCAUCGAGUCUUUGAACGCACAUUGCGCCCCCUGGUAUUCCGGGGGGCAUGCCUGUCCGAGCGUCAUUGCUGCCCUCAAGCCCGGCUUGUGUGUUGGGCCCUCGUCCCCCGGCUCCCGGGGGACGGGCCCGAAAGGCAGCGGCGGCACCGCGUCCGGUCCUCGAGCGUAUGGGGCUUCGUCUUCCGCUCCGUAGGNANCGGCCGGCGCCCGCCGACGCAUAUUUUUGCAACUUGUUUUUUUCCAGGUGACCUCGAUCNGGAGGAUCAAU